RNAcentral lists this long non-coding RNA (840 nucleotides) under Homo sapiens (human). Its description in RNAcentral is "HSALNT0307958". Lineage: Eukaryota; Metazoa; Chordata; Mammalia; Primates; Hominidae. The record is from RNAcentral.
ACAGCGCCCCCCGGUGAGCGUCGCGGCGGCCUCCGCGCCUUGCGGGUUUGCGGCCCGACCCUCCGCACCCGGGGCGAGCCUGGAUGGGACGAGGCUUGAGGGAAGGAGGGGCGAUCGUCGCGGCCCCCACGGAAGGCAGUCUUUCUACCUUUUUUGCUUCCAGACUCACUGACAUAAAAUGAGAAAUACAACAUUUGACAACUCGAAGCCAGCCUGGGGUCACAUUCCGGCAAACAGUGGGAACCAGCAAAGCCAAGGACAGAGAGGUCUUCAGGGAAUACAUGGCUAUGGUGGUUUGAAGACUCCCAUUAGAGAGUGGAUAUUAAUUGCCCUCCUUUUGAAUAUGGUCUGGACUUAGUGAUUUGAUUGUAACAAAUAGAAUACAGCAGAUGUGAUGCUAUGUGACUUCCAAACCUAGGUCAUAAAAGGAGAUGAAGUUUUCACCUGGCUCUCCCUUGGGACACUCACCCUUGGAACCCAGCUGCCAUAUUGUGAGGAAGCUCAAGCCACAGGGAAGGCCAUGUGUAGGUGUUUGGGCUGAUGGUGCCAGCUGAGGACCUGGUCUACUGCCAGUACAACUUAUAUCAAGCAUGUGAGUUGGCGAGCUUUUGAAAGAACUCCAGCCACAGUCACUGACCACGCUGCCUGAGAGACCUAGAGAGAAAACCUAGCUGAGCCAAAUCAGGCCCCGGAAACGUAAGUGAUAAUAAUAAAAGAUUGUCAUCUGGGUGGUUGUUACAUAGCAAUAGACACCUAGAACAGUGACAGAGCUGGAAUUUGAACCCAGAUAGUCUGACUCUAUAGUCUUCACUAUCAAGCACACUACCUCAGACCUUGAUA